GACGAACGCUGGCGGCGUGCUUAACACAUGCAAGUCGAACGGAAAGGCCCUGCUUUUGUGGGGUGCUCGAGUGGCGAACGGGUGAGUAACACGUGAGUAACCUGCCCUUGACUUUGGGAUAACUUCAGGAAACUGGGGCUAAUACCGGAUAGGAGCUCCUGCUGCAUGGUGGGGGUUGGAAAGUUUCGGCGGUUGGGGAUGGACUCGCGGCUUAUCAGCUUGUUGGUGGGGUAGUGGCUUACCAAGGCUUUGACGGGUAGCCGGCCUGAGAGGAUGACCGGCCACAUUGGGACUGAGAUACGGCCCAGACUCCUACGGGAGGCAGCAGUGGGGAAUAUUGCACAAUGGGCGGAAGCCUGAUGCAGCAACGCCGCGUGCGGGAUGACGGCCUUCGGGUUGUAAACCGCUUUCGCCUGUGACGAAGCGUGAGUGACGGUAAUGGGUAAAGAAGCACCGGCUAACUACGUG
RNAcentral lists this ribosomal RNA (468 nucleotides) under uncultured bacterium. RNAcentral describes it as "partial 16S ribosomal RNA". It matches the Rfam family "Bacterial small subunit ribosomal RNA", at positions 28 to 507 of the family's 1533-position model. The record is from RNAcentral.